GACGAACGCUGGCGGCGUGCUUAACACAUGCAAGUCGAACGGAAAGGCCCUGCUUUUGUGGGGUGCUCGAGUGGCGAACGGGUGAGUAACACGUGAGUAACCUGCCCUUGACUUUGGGAUAACUUCAGGAAACUGGGGCUAAUACCGGAUAGGAGCUCCUGCUGCAUGGGGGGGGUUGGAAAGUUUCGGCGGUUGGGGAUGGACUCGCGGCUUAUCAGCUUGUUGGUGGGGUAGUGGCUUACCAAGGCUUUGACGGGUAGCCGGCCUGAGAGGGUGACCGGCCACAUUGGGACUGAGAUACGGCCCAGAGUGCUACGGGAGGCAGCAGUGGGGAAUAUUGCACAAUGGGCGGAAGCCUGAUGCAGCAACGCCGCGUGCGGGAUGACGGCCUUCGGGUUGUAAACCGCUUUCGACUGUGACGAAGCGUGAGUGACGGUAAUGGGUAAAGAAGCAACGGCUAACUACGUG
This 468-nucleotide ribosomal RNA is filed under the name uncultured bacterium. RNAcentral's name for it is "partial 16S ribosomal RNA". It matches the Rfam family "Bacterial small subunit ribosomal RNA", at positions 28 to 507 of the family's 1533-position model. The record is from RNAcentral.